UGUUCGAGCGUCAGUACAACCCUCAAGCUCUGCUUGGUCUUGAGCCCCGCCGGCAACGGCAGGCUUUAAAAUCAGUGGCGGCUCCGCCUGGCUCUCAGCGUAGUAAUACACCCCGCUACAGAGUCCCGAUGGAUGCCUGCCAGCAACCCCCAACUUCUAAGUUUGACCUCGGAUCAGGUAGGGAUACCCGCUGAACUUAA
This 200-nucleotide unclassified non-coding RNA is filed under the name soil metagenome. Its description in RNAcentral is "partial contains internal transcribed spacer 2 and large subunit ribosomal RNA". The record is from RNAcentral.